UGCAAGUCGAACGGUCGUAGCGAUACGAUAGUGGCGGACGGGUGAGUAACACGUGAGGAACCUGCCUUUUACAGGGGAUAACACAGCGAAAGUUGUACUAAUACCGCAUAAGACCACACCGGGUACAUCCCGGAGGGGGUCAAAGGAGCAAUCCGGUGAAGGGUGGGCUCGCGUCCGAUUAGAUAGUUGGUGAGGUAACGGCCCACCAAGUCGACGAUCCGGUAGCCGACCUGAGAGGGUGAUCGGCCACAUUGGGACUGAGACACGGCCCAAACUCCUACGGGAGGCAGCAGUGGGGAAUAUUGGACAAUGGGGGAAACCCUGAUCCAGCCGACGCCGCGUGAACGAUGAAGUUAUUUCGGUAUGUAAAGUUCUAUCAGCAGGGAAGUAUAAUGACGGUACCUGACUAAGAAGCACCGGCUAAAUACGUGCCAGCCGCUGC
This 442-nucleotide ribosomal RNA is filed under the name uncultured bacterium. RNAcentral describes it as "bacterial SSU rRNA". It matches the Rfam family "Bacterial small subunit ribosomal RNA", at positions 56 to 518 of the family's 1533-position model. The record is from RNAcentral.